ACUCCUACGGGAGGCAGCAGUGGGGAAUAUUGCACAAUGGGGGAAAUCCUGAUGCAGCCAUGCCGCGUGUGUGAAGAAGGCCUUCGGGUUGUAAAGCACUUUCAGUAGGGAGGAAGGUAGUGUAGUUAACACCUGCAUUAUUUGACGUUACCUACAGGGAAGAAGCACCGGCUAACUCCGUGCCAGCAGCCGCGGUAAUACGGAGGGUGCGAGCGUUAAUCGGAAUUACUGGGCGUAAAGCGCACGUAGGCGGCUUUGUAAGUCGGAUGUGAAAGCCCCGGGCUUGAACCUGGGAAUGGCAUUGCGAUACUGCAGAGCUAGAGUAUGGUAGAGGGAAGUGGAAUUUCCGGUGUAGCGGUGAAAUGCGUAGAUAUCGGAAGGAACACCGGUGGCGAAGGCGACUUCCUGGGCCAAUACUGACGCUGAGGUGCGAAAGCGUGGGGUAGCAAACAGGAUUAGAUACCCUGGUAGGCUCUG
RNAcentral lists this ribosomal RNA (477 nucleotides) under uncultured bacterium. RNAcentral describes it as "bacterial SSU rRNA". It matches the Rfam family "Bacterial small subunit ribosomal RNA", at positions 335 to 799 of the family's 1533-position model. The record is from RNAcentral.